RNAcentral lists this ribosomal RNA (855 nucleotides) under uncultured bacterium. RNAcentral's name for it is "bacterial SSU rRNA". It matches the Rfam family "Bacterial small subunit ribosomal RNA", at positions 28 to 896 of the family's 1533-position model. The record is from RNAcentral.
GAUGAACGCUAGCGGCAGGCCUAAUACAUGCAAGUCGAACGGUGUCUUCGGACAUAGUGGCGCACGGGUGCGUAACACGUAUGCAACCUACCUUACAUUGGGGGAUAGCCUUUCGAAAGGGAGAUUAAUACCGCAUAAGACAGUAGCUGGGCAUCCAGCAGCUGUUAAAGAUUUAUCGAUGUAAGCUGGGCAUGCGUCCAAUUAGCUAGUUGGUGAGGUAAUGGCUCACCAAGGCUAUGAUUGGUAGGGGAACUGAGAGGUCAAUCCCCCACACUGGCACUGAGAUACGGGCCAGACUCCUACGGGAGGCAGCAGUAGGGAAUAUUGGGCAAUGGACGCAAGUCUGACCCAGCCAUGCCGCGUGCAGGAUGAAGGCGUUAUGCGUUGUAAACUGCUUUUAUACAGGAAGAAACGACUCUUGCGAGAGGCAUUGACGGUACUGUAUGAAUAAGCACCGGCUAACUCCGUGCCAGCAGCCGCGGUAAUACGGAGGGUGCAAGCGUUGUCCGGAUUUAUUGGGUUUAAAGGGUGCGCAGGUGGUUUAUUAAGUCAGUGGUGAAAGACGGUCGCUCAACGAUUGCAGUGCCAUUGAAACUGGUAGACUUGAGUAAAGUAGAGGUGGGCGGAAUUGAUAGUGUAGCGGUGAAAUGCAUAGAUAUUAUCAAGAACUCCAAUUGCGUAGGCAGCUCACUUGGCUUUUACUGACACUCAUGCACGAAAGUGUGGGUAUCAAACAGGAUUAGAUACCCUGGUAGUCCACACUGUAAACGAUGAUAACUAGGUGUCGGCCGAAUCUGGUCGGUGCCACAGCGAAAGCGUUAAGUUAUCCACCUGGGGAGUACGCCGGCAACGGUG